CUCGAUGGAGCGGGCAGCGUUCUGCAGGAAAGUAUGCAACGAAAGGGAGAAUACGGUCAUAGUUGCAAGCGGGAUUCACGGCGAGCCAACAGGCGAACGCGCGGCUGCGGAGAAACUGUUACGGGUCGUCGUUGAAAUCGGUGGUCAGCUGAUAAGGGAGAUGUCCCGGCGUGGCGAGUCGUGGGACGAGCGACGAACGAAGUUCCCGCCGCGCAUGCUGUCGUGGCCAGCGCUCACGAUACUGUCCGCUCGUUGAGCGCUUUCUGACGGAUCCAGCCACGGUGUUUCAAAGUGGGAGACGAAGAUCGCCGGAGCGGCACGAACCGCGCACGAACUAUCGAUCGAUACUGAUGAGAUCCAUGGAUCCUUACUCUCCUCCUUGGAUCUAUCGUAAAAAUAGAUAUUUAUUCACUCAUUUAUUUAAUUCACCGGUUAGAAACCCUUCAAACUACGAGAGCAGAAAGUUAACAUUGUAAAAAGUUGCUUUUUAAGUUUAUAAAAGAUAACUUUAAUAAAUGUAGAAUAGAGAGGUACGUGGCGAUGUCAUACAAGCUGCGAUAUAAAUUGCAUACGAAGCCUUCUUCUUAUGACUGCACUGGAAUCAUUAAAUAUGUCAAACAAGUGACUAUAAAUCUAUUGGCUUUUGAAACAGCCCUGUUGACGACGAGUGACCAAAUCCAGAGAUGAAUCUGUCAGAACAGAAGGUACUCUUAGGUCUGAUUAGUACGCGUGAGGAAUUGAACUUGAUUUACCCUAAGAGAAAUGAUUUAGUAUGAUUGUAAUAUCUUUUUAAUUGAAAAAUUGUCCACACCAGAAAUAAAAUUCUUAUGUAUUCUCUUCCACGAACA
This is a long non-coding RNA of Ceratina calcarata, 848 nucleotides long. RefSeq lists it as uncharacterized. The record is from RefSeq and is a predicted model, not a curated record. The transcript is spliced from 2 exons. Lineage: Eukaryota; Metazoa; Arthropoda; Insecta; Hymenoptera; Apidae.